This 409-nucleotide ribosomal RNA is filed under the name bacterium. RNAcentral's name for it is "partial 16S ribosomal RNA". It matches the Rfam family "Bacterial small subunit ribosomal RNA", at positions 355 to 776 of the family's 1533-position model. The record is from RNAcentral.
UGGGGAAUAUUGCACAAUGGGCGAAAGCCUGAUGCAGCGACGCCGCGUGAGGGAUGACGGCCUUCGGGUUGUAAACCUCUUUCAGUAGGGAAGAAGCGAAAGUGACGGUACCUGCAGAAGAAGCGCCGGCUAACUACGUGCCAGCAGCCGCGGUAAUACGUAGGGCGCAAGCGUUAUCCGGAAUUAUUGGGCGUAAAGAGCUCGUAGGCGGUUUGUCGCGUCUGCCGUGAAAGUCCGGGGCUUAACUCCGGAUCUGCGGUGGGUACGGGCAGACUAGAGUGAUGUAGGGGAGACUGGAAUUCCUGGUGUAGCGGUGAAAUGCGCAGAUAUCAGGAGGAACACCGAUGGCGAAGGCAGGUCUCUGGGCAUUAACUGACGCUGAGGAGCGAAAGCAUGGGGAGCGAACAGG